This 519-nucleotide ribosomal RNA is filed under the name uncultured eukaryote. Its description in RNAcentral is "SSU rRNA". It matches the Rfam family "Eukaryotic small subunit ribosomal RNA", at positions 1161 to 1699 of the family's 1831-position model. The record is from RNAcentral.
AGGGCACCACCAGGAGUGGAGCCUGCGGCUUAAUUUGACUCAACACGGGGAAACCUACCCGGCCUGGACACUGGAAGGAUUGACAGAUUGAGAGCUCUUUCUUGAUUCAGUGGGUGGUGGUGCAUGGCCGUUCUUAGUUGGUGGAGCGAUUUGUCUGGUUAAUUCCGAUAACGAACGAGACUCUAGCCUAUUAAAUAGGCUCUCGGCUUUUAAACGCCGGGAGGACUUCUUAGAGGGACAGGUGGCGGUUCAGCCGCACGAAGGAGGGCAAUAACAGGUCUGUGAUGCCCUUUGUUGUCCGGGGCCGCACGCGCGCUACACUGAAGAGAUCAGCGUGCUUUACGUUCCUGCUCCGACCGGAGUGGGGAACCCAGUGAACCUUCUUCGUGAUUGGGAUAGAAGAUUGUAAUUAUUCUUCUUGAACGAGGAAUUCCCAGUAAAUGCGAGUCAUAAGCUCGCGUUGAUUACAUCCCUGCCCUUUGUACACACCGCCCGUCGCUACUACCGAUAGAACAAUUU